AGCAGAUGGGUAUCCGGCAGUGGUGUCUGGAGCAGCGUAAAGAGCUUGGCAAGCUGCAUCGGAGAUGGUGUUGGAGCAGGCUACGGCGGCUGGGGUGUAGACGAACUGAAAUUUUGAGAUUGAGGGAAUAUUAUAAUUGGAGGUAAUAA
Non-coding RNA from Caenorhabditis elegans, 149 nucleotides. The record is from Ensembl. NCBI's taxonomy places the organism in Eukaryota, Metazoa, Nematoda, Chromadorea, Rhabditida, Rhabditidae.